Molecule: ribosomal RNA, 90 nt
Filed under: uncultured bacterium
Lineage: Bacteria
Description: partial 16S ribosomal RNA
Rfam family: Bacterial small subunit ribosomal RNA
Source: RNAcentral
CCCGUCACACCAUGGGAGUCGAUUGCUCCAGAAGUGCCUGAGCCAACCGCAAGGAGGCAGGGCCCCAAGGAGUGAUCGGUAACUGGGGUG